GACGAACGCUGGCGGCGCGCCUAACACAUGCAAGUCGAACGAGCGAGCGAGAGCUUGCUUUCUUGAGCGAGUGGCGAACGGGUGAGUAACGCGUGAGGAACCUGCCUCAAAGAGGGGGACAACAGUUGGAAACGACUGCUAAUACCGCAUAAGCCCACGGUGCCGCAUGGCACAGAGGGAAAAGGAGCACUCCGCUUUGAGAUGGCCUCGCGUCCGAUUAGCUAGUUGGGGAGGUAACGGCCCACCAAGGCGACGAUCGGUAGCCGGACUGGGAGGUUGAACGGCCACAUUGGGACUGAGACACGGCCCAGACUCCUACGGGAGGCAGCAGUGGGGAAUAUUGCACAAUGGGGGAAACCCUGAUGCAGCGACGCCGCGUGGAGGAAGAAGGUCUUCGGAUUGUAAACUCCUGUUGUUGGGGAAGAUAAUGACGGUACCCAACAAGGAAGUGACGGCUAACUACGUG
RNAcentral lists this ribosomal RNA (466 nucleotides) under uncultured bacterium. Its description in RNAcentral is "partial 16S ribosomal RNA". It matches the Rfam family "Bacterial small subunit ribosomal RNA", at positions 28 to 507 of the family's 1533-position model. The record is from RNAcentral.